This 490-nucleotide ribosomal RNA is filed under the name uncultured bacterium. RNAcentral's name for it is "partial 16S ribosomal RNA". It matches the Rfam family "Bacterial small subunit ribosomal RNA", at positions 28 to 507 of the family's 1533-position model. The record is from RNAcentral.
GAUGAACGCUAGCGGCAGGCUUAAUACAUGCAAGUCGAGGGGCAGCACGUUUCGCAGCAAUGCGGGAUGGUGGCGACCGGCAAACGGGUGAAGAUCGCGUACACAAUCUUCCCAGAGCAGGGGGAUAACCCGGGGAAACCCGGACUAAUACCCCGUAGUUUACUUUGAAGGCAUCUUUGAGGUAAUAAAACUCCGGUGGCUUUGGAUGAGUGUGCGUCCCAUUAGGUAGUUGGCAGGGUAACGGCCUACCAAGCCUUCGAUGGGUAACUGGUGUGAGAGCACGACCAGUCACACGGGCACUGAGACACGGGCCCGACUCCUACGGGAGGCAGCAGUAAGGAAUAUUGGUCAAUGGACGCAAGUCUGAACCAGCCAUGCCGCGUGAAGGAUGAAGGUCCUCUGGAUUGUAAACUUCUUUUAUAGGGGGCGAAAAAAGGGUUUUUUAACUCACUUGACGGUACCUUAUGAAUAAGCACCGGCUAACUCCGUG